Molecule: long non-coding RNA, 822 nt
Organism: Lucilia sericata (common green bottle fly)
Lineage: Eukaryota; Metazoa; Arthropoda; Insecta; Diptera; Calliphoridae
Exons: 4
Source: RefSeq, a predicted model, not a curated record
GAAAAAUAGUGAUAGAGAUAGUAGUGAAAGAUACAGAUAUAGAAUAUAGAAUAAUGAAUAUAGAAAACGAUGAGAUCAAGACUGUAUUUCAAGAAAAAUCCUAGUGUGUAUUUAGUUACACACCCACUUCGACAAUUUCAAGAAUGCUAGUAUACACUCAGGUUGAACAGCUGACAGAUCAGAUAGAUCAGAAAAGUGAGACGAACCCAGCGCCUGAUGACGGAGCGAUUCCAGGGCCGGACAGUUACACAGAAGAUGAGUAAUUGUUUCUUCCUCUUCUUCAUUUUGACAGCUCCUACAAAAGUCAUUAUAUGGAAUACCAAUACGUCUAGCAUGGUUUCCGAACUUUGAAUGACCGAUUCGCAAUAGACUGGACUAAUCUCCCAAGGAUCAACGUUUCUUGACGACCGGUGGUGAAUGUACAGGUUUUCUGUCCGUCCGUAUUAGUUUGUUCGGGUAUUUCAGUUUCCGGCAACCUAUGAGUUAAAAUCUACCGCGGGAUUGUUCUUAACUAGGCCUGAGCUCAAUCCUAUCCUUACGCGCACGCCUGGUUCAAUUUUAACCAGCGGACUGGCUUCGAGCAACUAACGAAAGAAAUUAUCUAAAAGGACUGGUUCUGUUCGUCCUGUCGUUCGGGUAAGAGGUACACUUCUAUGUCGAAAACCUUAAUACCUGGACACCACAGGACUGUUGGUGCGGAUCUGCUAGAGUAGUCCCACGCUGGAUGGAGCUGGCGAUGGCGUGACUCAGAGUUGCUGCUUUAGUUUUAUGGUUCUCGCUUUAUUUAGCUUUAAGAUUGAUUUAAUUUAGUUUUAAGUUUUA